UGGACAUCAUAUGGGCUUGCCUCUGGACAUCACAUGGGUCUGGCCCGGCUGGGAAUCCUCUGGCCGCUGCAGCUACAAAUACUUGGGCAAAAGCAACGAACAGCCUAUCCAGUGGAUCACGGCACGAACCGGCGGCGGCUCUUUCCUCUUCCUCCUCUGGCUCUCUUCUCAAUCCCCAUUUCCUGCUGCAACUUGUAUCCUAGAUUAGCUACCUCUUGUAAUCGGCUACUGUGAUUGAGUAGUGAGAGUUGGUUCUUAACAUCUGGUAUUCAGAGCCAGUCCACCACCUUUCCACCACCCAAAUUUUCCCCAAUUUUUCUUCCACACCGAUUCAUCCGUUCCAUCGGCGACAACGCCAUGCCUGCCGACAAACCACCAGAGUGGGAUGCCAUGUCCACCAAGGAGCAGUUGUUGUGGUAUCUCGAGAGGUUAUGCGCUCAGGCAGACGAGAUGUGCUCAGCAUUGGGUAUUGCACGAGUGGGUGACCCUCCCAUGGUCACCUCGCUUAUCGAUCCGGCGGCUUCAACCACGACGCACGCCUCGUCCGCGCCCGUCCCCGACGUCUCCUGCUCCACCACCAAGUCCCAGGAGGUCCUCAAGGUCCUCCACGACACGGCCCCUGCCUCCAUCGAGAUGGCGCACGUCAUCUGUUCGAUGAAAUGCUCGGACGAGGUCGCCACCACCGAAUUUGGCGACACGGGCCAUGAUGCCCCUACUGCCAUCCUUCUCAAGCCAGCGGUCGACCUCAACGACAUCACGCCCACCCCUCCAAUGGCCAAACCGGAAGACCAGAAGGAGUACCAGGUUGUUGCGACCACGCCCUGGGCUGUCGAUAUCACCAUCGAUGUCCAACUUGCCACCCCUAUACCUCCCAUGCUCUCGAGGUAUGACCCUGACAACAACUGCGACGACGUUGCUGAUGCGUCCCUGAUUUUGUUGGUCGCGCACUCGGCGAAAUCAGUGCCUUCGGUUGUCCUCGUCCACGGCAAUGCCAGGGUGCAGCCAAUUGCACGCACAGAGCAUCGACCAAAUGGCGUUCAUCUUGUGAUGGGGAGCAAAUGCUUACUACUGCCACCAUUGCAAAAGGAAAUCAAGCAGCAACCGUGGCCACCCCCUAUUCAAGUGCAGAUUGUUGAGGAGGGUGUUGUUCUCUUCUAUGACAUCCCUCAAAGCUGUUUUACUGAUGAUUUUGGCUAUGAGUGGUGGCCACCUGACCACCAGCCGGGUGACUAUCAAACAGAGCUUUCUUUUGCAGUACAUCCAGAUGGAGAACCGUUCUUGAACCAUGUCUGGGACGUCUCGCCGCACACAAGGCACCAGGGCCUGCUACUACGGCCGAUACCGUGGCCAUCGUUUCUGGAAGAUCAUAUUGCAGAAGGGAAUGAGAUUCAACCAACUCCAUGGCCAUCAUUUGCAGUCAGUGUGCCAUCAGAGGUUUGUCAUUCUAGUGUUGCCCAUUGCAACUUCUCGGUGACUACUUCUGUUCAUAGCCUUCAUAAAUGGACAUUCAGGGCACAUCCAUAUCAGUUUGCCCAAGUGCUUGACAUGGGUUUGACUAGUAGCAGCUUUCCAAUGGAAUCAUGUCAUGUUGGAGAUCUUGUGGGCAAUCACCGUAGACACUGCAUACAGAAGAAUUUUUCUGGUGAUCUAAAGCUCCCGAGAGAAUCCUGGAAGUACCUACAAAUUGUACAGCAGAAACCAUGUCAGCCUGAGCAGGAAUGGAGGUUAUCUAUUUCAACUGAGCUACAAGGUUAUGACACACCAGGUGCGGACCGUGAGCACCAAACAAAGGCGCAACCACUGUUCGAGUUCAGUCAAGGGACGACCCAGCUGAAGCAUUCGUGGCCAUCAUUGUCAUGCAAUUGCCGAGCAGUACAGGUUUUGAGCAUGUCAGUGUUGUAUCUCUCGAGUGUGCAGUUGAAACUAUCUCCCUCUAAGAAGGCCUUUUCUGCAUUUCGGGCUCGAGAUGUACAUCCAAGGUUUGGGUUCAGUCAAAAAAAUAUUCAGCUGAAGCUAGCAGGGCCACAUUUUUCCCGGGAUUGCCGAGCAGUGCAGUUUCUUGUUAUUCAUGAGAAGUUGACUAGUCGUUUGUGCCAUGAGCAAUUGUGGAGCACUAAAUACCAUGUGUGUAAAAACCAAGAGCGGCUGAACUUAUGUGAAAAUCACGUUCUGGAGCAAGCUACUACUUAUAAUAUUCCUUGGCAUGAGAAAUUGCAGGGGGGCAUGAAGACCAUGAGCAUGUCAGCAAAUUGGCCACUUUUGGUUCAGAGGGAAUAUAAGAGGAGUGGCCAUCUUGUUAAGAAAUGCAAUGCUAAACAAAUACCUGGGGGUUCCAGAGCUAGAAUUCACCUAACUAUACUACUGAUCACUUUUAACUGUUGCCCCCCAUUUGGUGCAAAAAUGCUUGGUGGAAAUGCUUAUCACUUGCUUAUGAUACAGAUCAUCGCAACCCUUCUGAGCGAUUUACCAGCGAAAUCUAUUGGAGCUGAGUUGCAGCAACAUGUUACACUGCCUGGGAAUUAUUUUGCAUUGUUUCAGCCGAAGUCCCGAAGGCCACUUCAUAUCAUUGUUUUCGCUCAGGUGUCUUUGUUCAGCAAGCAGGCCAUAGCUGAAUCUCUGCAUGACAAGACGUCCCCUUGGCCACUGAUUAAAUUUGAGGUUCUUGUGCUACCUGACAACAAGUCAUCUGUGCUAAUUUCCUUUCUUUCCACAAGAAAGUGGAGCGUACUAGGAGGCCCAUCGCAAGAUGUUGCUGAACUAGAUGGUAUGGUGGGAAAGGUGGAACGAGUAUCUCAUAUGGGCAACCCCAUUCAUCUAUUCGUUGAGCAACAAAUGUCACUACCUGACCCUGACGACAACACAAGCAUGAAUAACAUACAAAUUGCAAUUAUGCACAAGUCAUGGGACCCCAGGAGCAUUACCAUGCCAACUUCGCAUCUUCAGCCGUCAAAGGUUACAGGGGCAAUGGUCUUUAGCAAGGAAGCACGAGCCGUGGGUGGAAUGGUGCCUUGUACCCUCUCUGGUCAAGAGCAUGCUGAAAGAAGGGGGUUGAAGAUCCUUAUGUCGAUGCUCACCAGCCAUGAGUGGUAUGUCGUUCUCUCAAUGCUGCUAUGAAGAGCAUUUUCAAGGAGUGGGGAAUGUCAUCGCGGUCGUUGUUGCUGCCGGCUUGGUGCAAGGCUACGUCGACCACAAGUACUACAUCGGCGUCUACAACAACUACUUCCUCGACAUCUUCUUCGUUGAGGUCGCCAUCGGCCACGACUACUACAACCUCGUCAUUCAAGUCAACCCCGACUUCGACUACCACCACGACAUCAAGCUAGUCAAGGAACACCCAGUGCCAUGGGAUCCGGGCGGUUCUCAAUGGCGUCGUUCAAGGGGCAAGGACGAUCGAGUGCAAUGGGAUCCGGGAGGGUCUUGGUGGCGUCGGCUUGGGGGCAAGCCGAAUCUCAAGAAGGGGGGAUGUCAGGGCCCUCCCCUAGCCCAUAUGGGCUUGCCUCUGGACAUCAUAUGGGCUUGCCUUUGGACAUCACAUGGGCCUGGCCCGGCUGGGAAUCCUCUGGCCGCUGCAGCUAUAAAUACUUGGGCAAAAGCAACGAACAACCUAUCCAGUGGAUCACGGCACGAACCGGCGGCGGCUCUUUCCUCUUCCUCCUUUGGCUCUCUUCUCAAUCCCCAUUUCCUGCUGCAACUUGUAUCCCAGAUUAGCUACCUCUUGUAAUCGGCUACUGUGAUUGAGUAGUGAGAGUUGGUUCUUAA
Molecule: long non-coding RNA, 3759 nt
Filed under: Triticum aestivum (bread wheat)
Lineage: Eukaryota; Viridiplantae; Streptophyta; Magnoliopsida; Poales; Poaceae
Description: long non-coding RNA (TAES_LNC012011)
Source: RNAcentral